AGUGAACGCUGGCGGCAGGCCUAACACAUGCAAGUCGAACGGCAACACAGUAAGAGCUUGCUCUUACGGGUGGCGAGUGGCGGACGGGUGAGGAAUACAUCGGAAUCUACUUUUUCGUGGGGGAUAACGUAGGGAAACUUACGCUAAUACCGCAUACGACCUACGGGAGAAAGCAGUGGAUCUUCGGACCUUGCGCGACUGAAUGAGACGAUGUCGGAUUAGCUAGUUGGCGGGGUAAAGGCCCACCAAGGCGACGAUCCGUAGCUGGUCUGAGAGGAUGAUCAGCCACACUGGAACUGAGACACGGUCCAGACUCCUACGGGAGGCAGCAGUGGGGAAUAUUGGACAAUGGGCGCAAGCCUGAUCCAGCCAUACCGCGUGGGUGAAGAAGGCCUUCGGGUUGUAAAGCCCUUUUGUUGGGAAAGAAAAGCAGCAGGUUAAUACCCCGCUGUUCUGACGGUACCCAAAGAAUAAGCACCGGCUAACUUCGUG
Molecule: ribosomal RNA, 492 nt
Filed under: uncultured bacterium
Lineage: Bacteria
Description: partial 16S ribosomal RNA
Rfam family: Bacterial small subunit ribosomal RNA
Source: RNAcentral